Molecule: ribosomal RNA, 311 nt
Filed under: uncultured Legionella sp.
Lineage: Bacteria; Pseudomonadati; Pseudomonadota; Gammaproteobacteria; Legionellales; Legionellaceae
Description: bacterial SSU rRNA
Rfam family: Bacterial small subunit ribosomal RNA
Source: RNAcentral
GCGUUAAUACGGAGGGUGCGAGCGUUUAUCGGAAUUACUGGGCGUAAAGGGUGCGUAGGUGGUUGAAUAAGUUAUCUGUGAAAUCCCUGGGCUCAACCUGGGAAGGUCAGAUAAGACUGUUUGACUCGAGUAUGGGAGAGGGUAGUGGAAUUUCCGGUGUAGCGGUGAAAUGCGUAGAGAUCGGAAGGAACACCAGUGGCGAAGGCGGCUACCUGGCCUAAUACUGACACUGAGGCACGAAAGCGUGGGGAGCAAACAGGAUUAGAUACCCUGGUAGUCCACGCUGUAAACGAUGUCAACUAGCUGUUGGA